RNAcentral lists this unclassified non-coding RNA (239 nucleotides) under Haemonchus longistipes. RNAcentral's name for it is "ITS2". The record is from RNAcentral. Lineage: Eukaryota; Metazoa; Nematoda; Chromadorea; Rhabditida; Trichostrongylidae.
AACCAUAUACUACAAUGUGGCUAAUUUUAACAUUGUUUGUCAAAUGGCAUUUGUCUUUUUAUUAAGGACAAUUCCCAUUUCAGUUUAAGAACGUAUACAUGCAACGUGAUGUUAACGAAAUUUUAACAUCCCUGAAUGAUAUGAACAUGUUGCCUCUAUUUGAGUGUACUCAGCGAAUAUUUGAGAUUGACUUAGAUAGUGACAUGUAUGGUGACGAUGUUCUUUUAUCAUUUGUAUAA